ACGGGACCCCGGCCACAGGCGGUGGAUCAUGUUGUUUAAUUCGAUGAUACGCGAAGAACCUUACCAGGUCUUGACAUCCCCCGCGAUGCUUUAGAGAUAAAGCGGAGGUAUUCGGGGAGACAGGUGGUGCAUGGUUGUCGUCAGCUCGUGUCGUGAGAUGUUGGGUUAAGUCCCGUAACGAGCGCAACCCUUGUCCUUAGUUACCAGCACGUUAUGGUGGGCACUCUAAGGAGACUGCCGGUGACAAACCGGAGGAAGGUGGGGAUGACGUCAAAUCAGCACGGCCCUUACGUCCAGGGCUACACACGUGCUACAAUGGCCGGUACAAAGGGCAGCUACCUGGUGACAGGAUGCUAAUCUCAAAAGCCGGUCUCAGCUCGGAUCGGAGUCUGCAACUCGAGUGCAUGAAGUUGGAAUCGCUAGUAAUCGCGGAUCAGCAUGCCGCGGUGAAUACGUUCCCGGGCCUU
This 467-nucleotide ribosomal RNA is filed under the name uncultured Lachnospiraceae bacterium. RNAcentral describes it as "bacterial SSU rRNA". It matches the Rfam family "Bacterial small subunit ribosomal RNA", at positions 913 to 1382 of the family's 1533-position model. Lineage: Bacteria; Bacillati; Bacillota; Clostridia; Lachnospirales; Lachnospiraceae. The record is from RNAcentral.